AAUAAGUGCAGUUUUACACUAUUCAUGUUCAACGUUUGAUCGUUCGUCUUAUUUGAAUUUUUUUUAAGAUUAGUAUUUUUAUUGUUGUUAGAUAAUAAAACAUGAAUAGUAUUUUAUACGUGACUAAAUAUUUUUAAUUUUUUCACAAAUUUUUCAAAUAAGACAGACGGUCAAACGUUGGACAAGGAUAUUUACGGCUACACUUAUU
Oryza glumipatula is the source of this 208-nucleotide non-coding RNA. The record is from Rfam. Lineage: Eukaryota; Viridiplantae; Streptophyta; Magnoliopsida; Poales; Poaceae.